GACGUAGGGCGCGAGCGUUGUCCGGAUUUAUUGGGCGUAAAGAGCUCGUAGGCGGCUUGGCGCGUCGACCGUGAAAACUUGGGGCUCAACCCCAAGCCUGCGGUCGAUACGGGCAGGCUCGAGUUCGGUAGGGGAGACUGGAAUUCCUGGUGUAGCGGUGAAAUGCGCAGAUAUCAGGAGGAACACCGGUGGCGAAGGCGGGUCUCUGGGCCGAUACUGACGCUGAGGAGCGAAAGCGUGGGGAGCAAACAGG
Molecule: ribosomal RNA, 253 nt
Filed under: uncultured bacterium
Lineage: Bacteria
Description: partial 16S ribosomal RNA
Rfam family: Bacterial small subunit ribosomal RNA
Source: RNAcentral